GGCUACUACAUCCAAGGAAGGCAGCAGGCGCGCAAAUUAUCCAAUACCGAUUCGGUGAGAUAGUGACAAUAAAUACUGAUACGGGGCUCUUUUGGGUCCUGUAAUCGGAAUGAGUACAAUUUAAAUCUCUUAACGAGGAACAAGAAGAGGGCAAGUCUGGUGCCAGCAGCCGCGGUAAUUCCAGCUCUUCGAGCGUAUACUAAAGUUGUUGCGGUUAAAAAGCUCGUAGUUGAAGGUUGGGCGUGUGGGCUGUCCUCCGCGAGGACGUACGGAAACACACGCCUUUUGUCUGUGGAGCGGCAUGUCCUUCACUGGGCGUGUCGGGACACAGGACGGUUACUUUGAAGAAAUUGGAGUGCUCAAAGCAGGCGCAUGCUCGAACAGUUCAGCAUGGAAUAACGAAAUAGGACGCUGAUUCUAUUCGUUGGUUUCAGAAUCUGCGUAAUGAUUAAUAGGGACAGUCGGGGGCAUCAGU
Molecule: ribosomal RNA, 475 nt
Filed under: Sphaeronaemella fimicola
Lineage: Eukaryota; Fungi; Ascomycota; Sordariomycetes; Microascales
Description: SSU rRNA
Rfam family: Eukaryotic small subunit ribosomal RNA
Source: RNAcentral